AUUAUACUCCCUCCAUCCGGAAUUACUUGUCGCGGAAAUUGAUAAAAAUGAAUAUAUCUAGAAAUAAAUAUGUCUAGAUACAUUCAUUUCUCUGACAAGUAAUUCCGGAAGAAGGGAGUACGAU
Molecule: non-coding RNA, 124 nt
Organism: Triticum aestivum (bread wheat)
Lineage: Eukaryota; Viridiplantae; Streptophyta; Magnoliopsida; Poales; Poaceae
Source: Rfam